This 253-nucleotide ribosomal RNA is filed under the name uncultured bacterium. RNAcentral's name for it is "partial 16S ribosomal RNA". It matches the Rfam family "Bacterial small subunit ribosomal RNA", at positions 524 to 776 of the family's 1533-position model. The record is from RNAcentral.
UACGUAGGGGGCAAGCGUUGUCCGGAUUUAUUGGGCGUAAAGAGCGUGUAGGCGGCUAGGUAGGUCCGUUGUGAAAACUCGAGGCUCAACCUCGAGACGCCGGUGGAAACCAUCUAGCUAGAGUCCGGAAGAGGAGAAUGGAAUUCCCGGUGUAGCGGUGAAAUGCGCAGAUAUCAGGAGGAACACCGGUGGCGAAGGCGGGUCUCUGGGCCGAAACUGACGCUGAGGAGCGAAAGCGUGGGGAGCAAACAGG